GGCUCAUCGGACUACCAGUUGUAUUUCAAUUCAGUGUUACAUAGCUAUACAAAAAAAAAAGUCUUAUCUCCUUCAAGGAUUUGUGUCACAAGCUUUCUGUGAAAUAUUCUAAGUAAAUGUGAACAGAUACUUUGUGCUCAGUCUGAUCUCCUGCCUACAGGAUGCACUUACUAGUGAUAAGGGUGUUUUGUUUUUCCUGAUUCAGUAGUGUUGACCGAACUUUUGCAGCAUAUUCAUCAACCUACUGCAGAGUUUAGUCAAUAAACCCCAAGGUCACACCUAUGAAAUAUUUGAGGUGAUAUAUAUGCAUAUUAAAGCCUGUGUUUGCAUUGAAACUAUGUUUAACCGGGGGAAUUCGUUCUGUAUUGAAUCCUAUAUUUUUGUGAAAAUACUCCUGGUUUGUGCUUUAAUUGACCGAUCUAUUUUUCUAGCCAGCAUGGUUUCAUAACAACACCAUAUGUUUUUUUAAUAAAAUAUUACAGCACAUUGAUUACCUCACUAUUAGCCUUAUUUACUAAGAACUGUUGAAAUGCACUAAAUAAAUCCAGCAAUGGUACUGCAAAUAUUUGUGAAAUACAUUUCCUGGAAUACUUAAUCAACCUAGAGGUUGGCUGAGCAUCAUGGGAAAAUGUCCACAAACAUCCCCCAUAUUUAGCCGUCACUGGUAUGCACCAGUCUCCUGAAUAGGCCAAAGCAUGUCUUGUCUGUCUGUGUCAGUUACCACAUAGAUUUAUCUGUCCGAAAAUGCAACUUUUUCUGCUGAAAUAAGUGAACUCCAUUCAAAAG
Molecule: non-coding RNA, 786 nt
Organism: Pelobates cultripes (western spadefoot toad)
Lineage: Eukaryota; Metazoa; Chordata; Amphibia; Anura; Pelobatidae
Source: the annotation of a GenBank genome assembly